AGAUUGAACGCUGGCGGCAUGCCUAACACAUGCAAGUCGAACGGGAGUAGCAAUACUCUAGUGGCGGACGGGUGAGGAAUACGUAGGAAUUUGCCCUUAAGUGGGGGAUAACCCGGGGAAACCCGGAUUAAUACCGCAUGACCUCGAAAGAGCAAAGUGGGGGAUCGCAAGACCUCACGCUUUUGGAGAAGCCUACGUCGGAUUAGCUAGUGGUGAGGUAAUGGCUCACCAAGGCGACGAUCCGUAACUGGUCUGAGAGGAUGAUCAGUCACACCGGACUGAGACACGGUCCGGACUCCUACGGGAGGCAGCAGUGGGGAAUAUUGGACAAUGGGCGCAAGCCUGAUCCAGCAAUGCCGCGUGUGUGAAG
RNAcentral lists this ribosomal RNA (370 nucleotides) under uncultured soil bacterium. Its description in RNAcentral is "bacterial SSU rRNA". It matches the Rfam family "Bacterial small subunit ribosomal RNA", at positions 26 to 410 of the family's 1533-position model. The record is from RNAcentral.